RNAcentral lists this ribosomal RNA (377 nucleotides) under uncultured eukaryote. RNAcentral describes it as "partial 18S ribosomal RNA". It matches the Rfam family "Eukaryotic small subunit ribosomal RNA", at positions 592 to 976 of the family's 1831-position model. The record is from RNAcentral.
CAAUAGCGUAUAUUUAAGUUGCUGCAGUUAAAAAGCUCGUAGUUGGAUUUCGGGUGGGAAUGGCCGGUCCGCCGUUUCGGUGUGCACUUGCUACGCCCACCUUGCUGCCGGGGACGUGCUCUUGAGUUCACGCUCGGGACACGGAGUCGGCGAGGUUACUUUGAGUAAAUUAGAGUGUUCAAAGCAGGCCUACGCUCUGAAUACAUUAGCAUGGAAUAACACGAUAGGACUCUGGCCUAUCUUGUUGGUCUGUAGGACCGGAGUAAUGAUUAAGAGGGACAGUCGGGGGCAUUCGUAUUUCAUUGUCAGAGGUGAAAUUCUUGGAUUUAUGAAAGACGAACUUCUGCGAAAGCAUUUACCAAGGAUGUUUUCAUUAA